UGGAAUAUGCAGAGUUUGUGAAGUAUAAUAAAAAGUAAAAGUUAGAAUUGAAGGAAGCAUAAACAUGGGUUCUGAGUGUAAUAGAUGGAUGAUUUUGUGGUUUGUGAUUGCUAUUUCGUUCUCAGGCAUGAUGCAGAGAGCAGUAGCAGCACGACAUCUCAUGCAGACUUCUAUUCUGCCACCACUACUCCCACCACUACUCCCACAGCUGCCACCAUUCCCACAGCUGCCACCAC
Molecule: long non-coding RNA, 236 nt
Filed under: Phaseolus vulgaris (common bean)
Lineage: Eukaryota; Viridiplantae; Streptophyta; Magnoliopsida; Fabales; Fabaceae
Description: long non-coding RNA (PVUL_LNC004624)
Source: RNAcentral